This 468-nucleotide ribosomal RNA is filed under the name uncultured bacterium. RNAcentral describes it as "partial 16S ribosomal RNA". It matches the Rfam family "Bacterial small subunit ribosomal RNA", at positions 28 to 507 of the family's 1533-position model. The record is from RNAcentral.
GACGAACGCUGGCGGCGUGCUUAACACAUGCAAGUCGAACGGUGAAGCUCCAGCUUGCUGGAGUGGAUCAGUGGCGAACGGGUGAGUAACACGUGAGCAACCUGCCCCUGACUCUGGAAUAAGCGCUGGAAACGGCGUCUAAUACUGGAUACGAGAAGGGUCCGCAUGGGCACUUUCUGGAAAGUUUUUCGGUUGGGGAUGGGCUCGCGGCCUAUCAGCUUGUUGGUGAGGUAAUGGCUCACCAAGGCGACGACGGGUAGCCGGCCUGAGAGGGCGACCGGCGACACUGGGACUGAGACACGGCCCAGACUCCUACGGGAGGCAGCAGUGGGGAAUAUUGCACAAUGGGCGAAAGCCUGAUGCAGCGACGCCGCGUGAGGGAUGACGGCCUUCGGGUUGUAAACCUCUUUCAGCAGGGAAGAAGCGAAAGUGACGGUACCUGCAGAAGAAGCACCGGCUAACUACGUG